UCUCCGUUGGUGAACCAGCGGAGGGAUCAUUACCGAGUUUACAACCCCAAAACCCCAUGUGACCCUUACCAAACGUUGCUUCCUCGGGAUGCCCCGGUCGCGGGCCGCAAGGCUUCAGUCCCGGAACCAGGCGCCCGCCGGAGGGCGAAACCAAACUCUUGUUUUUGUAGAAACUUCUGAGUGGCCUUUAAGACAAAAAAUAAAUCAAAACUUUCAACAACGGAUCUCUUGGUUCUG
Molecule: unclassified non-coding RNA, 237 nt
Filed under: plant metagenome
Description: partial contains small subunit ribosomal RNA, internal transcribed spacer 1, and 5.8S ribosomal RNA
Source: RNAcentral